This 505-nucleotide ribosomal RNA is filed under the name uncultured bacterium. RNAcentral describes it as "partial 16S ribosomal RNA". It matches the Rfam family "Bacterial small subunit ribosomal RNA", at positions 28 to 507 of the family's 1533-position model. The record is from RNAcentral.
GACGAACGCUGGCGGCGUGCCUAAUACAUGCAAGUAGAACGCACAGUUUAUACCGUAGCUUGCUACACCAUAGACUGUGAGUUGCGAGCGGGUGAGUAACGCGUAGGUAACCUGCCUGGUAGCGGGGGAUAACUAUUGGAAACGAUAGCUAAUACCGCAUAAUAUUGAUUAUUGCAUGAUAAUUGAUUGAAAGAUGCUAUUGCAUCACUACCAGAUGGACCUGCGUUGUAUUAGCUAGUAGGUGAGGUAACGGCUCACCUAGGCGACGAUACAUAGCCGACCUGAGAGGGUGAUCGGCCACACUGGGACUGAGACACGGCCCAGACUCCUACGGGAGGCAGCAGUAGGGAAUCUUCGGCAAUGGACGAAAGUCUGACCGAGCAACGCCGCGUGAGUGAAGAAGGUUUUCGGAUCGUAAAGCUCUGUUGUAAGAGAAGAACGGGUGUGAGAGUGGAAAGUUCACACUGUGACGGUAUCUUACCAGAAAGGGACGGCUAACUACGUG